UCGGGAAUUUUGGGCAAUGGGCGAAAGCCUGACCCAGCAACGCCGCGUGAAGGAUGAAGUAUUUCGGUAUGUAAACUUCGUAAGAAUAGGAAGAAUAAAUGACGGUACUAUUUGUAAGGUCCGGCUAACUACGUGCCAGCAGCCGCGGUAAUACGUAGGGACCAAGCGUUGUUCGGAUUUACUGGGCGUAAAGGGCGCGUAGGCGGUGUGUCAAGUCAGUUGUGAAAUCUCCGAGCUUAACUCGGAACGGUCAACUGAUACUGUCACACUAGAGUACAGAAGGGGCAAUCGGAAUUCUUGGUGUAGCGGUGAAAUGCGUAGAUAUCAAGAGGAACACCUGAGGUGAAGACGGGUUGCUGGGCUGACACUGACGCUGAGGCGCGAAAGCUAGGGUAGCAAACGGGAUUAGAUACCCCGGUAGUCCCUGAGCGGGCUGGCAAGGCGCAU
This 447-nucleotide ribosomal RNA is filed under the name uncultured bacterium. Its description in RNAcentral is "bacterial SSU rRNA". It matches the Rfam family "Bacterial small subunit ribosomal RNA", at positions 355 to 825 of the family's 1533-position model. The record is from RNAcentral.